Molecule: ribosomal RNA, 434 nt
Filed under: uncultured Lachnospiraceae bacterium
Lineage: Bacteria; Bacillati; Bacillota; Clostridia; Lachnospirales; Lachnospiraceae
Description: bacterial SSU rRNA
Rfam family: Bacterial small subunit ribosomal RNA
Source: RNAcentral
ACGGAAGGCAGCAGUGGGGAAUAUUGCACAAUGGGCGAAAGCCUGAUGCAGCGACGCCGCGUGAAGGAAGAAGUAUUUCGGUAUGUAAACUUCUAUCAGCAGGGAAGAAAAUGACGGUACCUGACUAAGAAGCCCCGGCUAACUACGUGCCAGCAGCCGCGGUAAUACGUAGGGGGCAAGCGUUAUCCGGAUUUACUGGGUGUAAAGGGAGCGUAGACGGCAAUGCAAGUCUGAAGUGAAAGGCAUGGGCUCAACCUGUGGACUGCUUUGGAAACUGUAUGGCUAGAGUGUCGGAGAGGUAAGCGGAAUUCCUAGUGUAGCGGUGAAAUGCGUAGAUAUUAGGAGGAACACCAGUGGCGAAGGCGGCUUACUGGACGAUGACUGACGUUGAGGCUCGAAAGCGUGGGGAGCAAACAGGAUUAGAUACCCUGGUA